Molecule: ribosomal RNA, 1733 nt
Filed under: human gut metagenome
Description: bacterial LSU rRNA
Rfam family: Bacterial large subunit ribosomal RNA
Source: RNAcentral
UGUGGCUGGGGGUGAAAGGCCAAUCAAACCGGGAGAUAGCUGGUUCUCCCCGAAAGCUAUUUAGGUAGCGCCUCGUGAAUUCAUCUCCGGGGGUAGAGCACUGUUUCGGCAAGGGGGUCAUCCCGACUUACCAACCCGAUGCAAACUGCGAAUACCGGAGAAUGUUAUCACGGGAGACACACGGCGGGUGCUAACGUCCGUCGUGAAGAGGGAAACAACCCAGACCGCCAGCUAAGGUCCCAAAGUCAUGGUUAAGUGGGAAACGAUGUGGGAAGGCCCAGACAGCCAGGAUGUUGGCUUAGAAGCAGCCAUCAUUUAAAGAAAGCGUAAUAGCUCACUGGUCGAGUCGGCCUGCGCGGAAGAUGUAACGGGGCUAAACCAUGCACCGAAGCUGCGGCAGCGACACUAUGUGUUGUUGGGUAGGGGAGCGUUCUGUAAGCCUGUGAAGGUGUACUGUGAGGUAUGCUGGAGGUAUCAGAAGUGCGAAUGCUGACAUAAGUAACGAUAAAGCGGGUGAAAAGCCCGCUCGCCGGAAGACCAAGGGUUCCUGUCCAACGUUAAUCGGGGCAGGGUGAGUCGACCCCUAAGGCGAGGCCGAAAGGCGUAGUCGAUGGGAAACAGGUUAAUAUUCCUGUACUUGGUGUUACUGCGAAGGGGGGACGGAGAAGGCUAUGUUGGCCGGGCGACGGUUGUCCCGGUUUAAGCGUGUAGGCUGGUUUUCCAGGCAAAUCCGGAAAAUCAAGGCUGAGGCGUGAUGACGAGGCACUACGGUGCUGAAGCGACAAAUGCCCUGCUUCCAGGAAAAGCCUCUAAGCAUCAGGUAACAUCAAAUCGUACCCCAAACCGACACAGGUGGUCAGGUAGAGAAUACCAAGGCGCUUGAGAGAACUCGGGUGAAGGAACUAGGCAAAAUGGUGCCGUAACUUCGGGAGAAGGCACGCUGAUAUGUAGGUGAAGCGACUUGCUCGUGGAGCUGAAAUCAGUCGAAGAUACCAGCUGGCUGCAACUGUUUAUUAAAAACACAGCACUGUGCAAACACGAAAGUGGACGUAUACGGUGUGACGCCUGCCCGGUGCCGGAAGGUUAAUUGAUGGGGUUAGCGGUAACGCGAAGCUCUUGAUCGAAGCCCCGGUAAACGGCGGCCGUAACUAUAACGGUCCUAAGGUAGCGAAAUUCCUUGUCGGGUAAGUUCCGACCUGCACGAAUGGCGUAAUGAUGGCCAGGCUGUCUCCACCCGAGACUCAGUGAAAUUGAACUCGCUGUGAAGAUGCAGUGUACCCGCGGCAAGACGGAAAGACCCCGUGAACCUUUACUAUAGCUUGACACUGAACAUUGAGCCUUGAUGUGUAGGAUAGGUGGGAGGCUUUGAAGUGUGGACGCCAGUCUGCAUGGAGCCGACCUUGAAAUACCACCCUUUAAUGUUUGAUGUUCUAACGUGGGCCCCUUACCGGGGUUGCGGACAGUGUCUGGUGGGUAGUUUGACUGGGGCGGUCUCCUCCUAAAGAGUAACGGAGGAGCACGAAGGUUGGCUAAUCCUGGUCGGACAUCAGGAGGUUAGUGCAAUGGCAUAAGCCAGCUUGACUGCGAGCGUGACGGCGCGAGCAGGUGCGAAAGCAGGUCAUAGUGAUCCGGUGGUUCUGAAUGGAAGGGCCAUCGCUCAACGGAUAAAAGGUACUCCGGGGAUAACAGGCUGAUACCGCCCAAGAGUUCAUAUCGACGGCGGUGUUUGGCAC